GACGAACGCUGGCGGCGUGCUUAACACAUGCAAGUCGAACGGGCCCGCCCCUGUUUUUGGGGGUGGGUUGAGUGGCGAACGGGUGAGUAUCACGUGAGUAACCUGCCCCCUGCUCCUGGAUAACUGCUUGAAAGGGCGGCUAAUACGGGGUGUGCCGGCUGGUCCGCAUGGGCCUGGUCGGGAUAGUUUCAUCUUCGGGUGUUUCGGUGGGGGAUGGGCUCGCGGCCUAUCAGCUUGUUGGUGGGGUGAUGGCCCACCAAGGCGGUGACGGGUAGCCGGCCUGAGAGGGUGGGCGGCCACACUGGGACUGAGACACGGCCCAGACUCCUGCGGGAGGCAGCAGUGGGGGGUAUUGCACAAUGGGCGGAAGCCUGAUGCAGCGACGUCGCGUGAGGGAUGGAGGCCUUCGGGUUGUGAACCUCUUUCUCCGGUGGUGAAGGCCCUGUCCGUUGCGGCGGGGUUGACGGUAGCCGGGUAUGGAGCGCCGGCUAACUACGUG
This 499-nucleotide ribosomal RNA is filed under the name uncultured bacterium. RNAcentral's name for it is "partial 16S ribosomal RNA". It matches the Rfam family "Bacterial small subunit ribosomal RNA", at positions 28 to 507 of the family's 1533-position model. The record is from RNAcentral.